GCGCAUGCGCGGGGGCCAUAUUAGCCGCGGUUAUUUGGAACUAUAUAAAGUUCAGAAAACAUGUCUCGAAGAUAUGACUCCAGGACCACUAUAUUUUCUCCAGAAGGUAAAAUAGAAAUUGUUUAAUCUGCCUCAAGUUUAAAAAUAGAUGUGUUAGACUUUUAGAAAAAAAAAUUACAAACUAUUUUUGGUAGUUGCAGAGUUCAUCUUUUUUGUACUUUGAAGCAAUUAUGGUCACCAGGUUGGUUAUACCAUAGAAGAGUGAAAGUGGAAAUUUGUUUCUAGCUUGCUUCAUUGCUGAUUUCUUUUGGGCCGGUGGUGCAAGAGCACAGAGGAGAGUCUUGGCUUCUCACUGCUUUUGUUUUGUAGGUCGCUUAUACCAAGUUGAAUAUGCCAUGGAAGCUAUUGGACAUGCAGGCACCUGUUUGGGAAUUUUAGCAAAUGAUGGUGUUUUGCUUGCAGCAGAGAGACGCAACAUCCACAAGCUUCUUGAUGAAGUCUUUUUUUCUGAAAAAAUUUAUAAACUCAAUGAGUAAGUGAGAUUUUAGGAAAAAGUUUUAAAAAAAUCUC
RNAcentral lists this small RNA (570 nucleotides) under Pongo abelii (Sumatran orangutan). RNAcentral's name for it is "retained intron". Lineage: Eukaryota; Metazoa; Chordata; Mammalia; Primates; Hominidae. The record is from RNAcentral.